Molecule: ribosomal RNA, 430 nt
Filed under: uncultured metazoan
Lineage: Eukaryota; Metazoa
Description: SSU rRNA
Rfam family: Eukaryotic small subunit ribosomal RNA
Source: RNAcentral
UUACCUGGUCCGGACAUCAAAAGGAUAGACAGACCGCGGAUCUUUCUAGAUAUGGUGAUUGGUGGUGCAUGGCCGUUCUUAGUUCGUGGAGUGAUCUGUCAGGCCAAUCCCGGUAACGAACGAGACCACAGUCUCCAUUUGACGAGUAGGAGAAGACGUCGAUUUUGAGUUAAAUUGCUCGCAGUUGGGCUCGCUAUUGGCGUUGAAGGCAUUGUUGAGGAGCGCUUGUGCACCAGCUGAGGUGGAAACACUGAGGUCGGGGGCGUUUGUCGUUUUGAUGCAAUCCCUCCUGCUGAGCAGUACACCUCUCGCAAGAGCGGUGUGUUGUAUCAUGGAGAGACAACGGAAUAUAUUAAAAAAAUCCGAGGAAGUGUGGCUAUAACAGGUCUGUGAUGCCCUUAGAUGUUCAGGGCUGCACGCGCGCUACAAU